UCAGGAUGGAACGGGUUUCGUGC
This 23-nucleotide non-coding RNA is filed under the name Mus musculus (house mouse). The record is from RNAcentral. Lineage: Eukaryota; Metazoa; Chordata; Mammalia; Rodentia; Muridae.